This 501-nucleotide ribosomal RNA is filed under the name uncultured bacterium. RNAcentral's name for it is "bacterial SSU rRNA". It matches the Rfam family "Bacterial small subunit ribosomal RNA", at positions 28 to 526 of the family's 1533-position model. The record is from RNAcentral.
GAUGAACGCUAGCGGCAGGCUUAAUACAUGCAAGUCGAACGGGAUUUGAGUAGCAAUAUUCAAUGAGAGUGGCGCACGGGUGCGUAACGCGUAUGCAACCUACCUUUAACAGGGGGAUAGCCCGGAGAAAUCCGGAUUAAUACCCCAUAGAAUAUAAUUGUGGCCUCACAUUUAUAUUAAAGCUCCGGUGGUUAAAGAUGGGCAUGCGUGCCAUUAGCUAGUUGGUGAGGUAACGGCUCACCAAGGCGACGAUGGCUAGGGGUCCUGAGAGGGUUAUCCCCCACACUGGUACUGAGACACGGACCAGACUCCUACGGGAGGCAGCAGUAAGGAAUAUUGGGCAAUGGACGCAAGUCUGACCCAGCCAUGCCGCGUGCAGGAAGACGGCCUUAUGGGUUGUAAACUGCUUUUAUCAGGGAAUAAACCCUUGUUUGUAAACAAGGCUGAAGGUACCUGAAGAAUAAGCAUCGGCUAACUCCGUGCCAGCAGCCGCGGUAGAGU